This 73-nucleotide transfer RNA is filed under the name Ailuropoda melanoleuca (giant panda). It matches the Rfam family "tRNA". Rfam says of the family: Transfer RNA (tRNA) molecules are approximately 80 nucleotides in length. Their secondary structure includes four short double-helical elements and three loops (D, anti-codon, and T loops). Lineage: Eukaryota; Metazoa; Chordata; Mammalia; Carnivora; Ursidae. The record is from Rfam by way of RNAcentral.
ACCUGGCUGGCUCAAUCAUUGGAGCAUGGGACUCUUGAUCUUGCGAUUAUGAGUUCAAACCCCAUGUUGGGUG